CGCAUCUGUGCAUGCAGCAUAUCAAUAAGCGGAGGAAAAGAAACUAACAAGGAUUCCCUUAGUAACGGCGAGUGAAGCGGGAAGAGCUCAAAUUUGAAAUCUUCAAGGUUUUACCUUGACGAAUUGUAGUUUAAAGAAGUGUUUCUCUGUUGAAGUUUUGGUAAAAGUUCUUUGGAAUAGGACAUCAUAGAGGGUGGAGAAUCCCGUAUUUGACCAUUAUUUUCAGCUGUGUGAUACACUUUCAAAGAGUCGGAUUGUUUGGGAAUGCAGUCCAAAAUGGGUGGUAAAUUUCAUCUAAAGCUAAAUAUUGGCGAGAGACCGAUAGCGAACAAGUACCGUGAGGGAAAGAUGAAAAGAACUUUGAAAAGAGAGUUAAACAGUACGUGAAAUUGUCAAAAGGGAAGCGUUUGACACCAGUGUUGUUUUCUCGAAAAUCAAUUAAAAAGAGUUUAGAUUUUGUUGUGUAUUGACCUUAACAGCUUACAUUUCAAUUUUCUUGCUUUUUUUAAUGCACUUUUCGUUUAACAAGUCAACAUCAGUUUCUUUUGUUGUAAAAAGGUCAUUGGAAGGUGGCUUUCUUUUCGGAGAAAGUGUUUAUAGCCUUUGACUCCUGCAAUCGGAGAGACUGAGGUCUGCAGCGUAGAUCCUUCGGGGUUAGAUACAUUUGUGCUAAGUUAUAGCUUUUUAUAGACAACUUGUUGACUAUGAUUAGUCUUGUAGCUUACUCGCUUAUGCUAUUUUACCUACGCUUAGGAUGUUGACACACGCGCGUGCUCG
This 777-nucleotide ribosomal RNA is filed under the name uncultured Neocallimastigales. Its description in RNAcentral is "partial large subunit ribosomal RNA". It matches the Rfam family "Eukaryotic large subunit ribosomal RNA", at positions 26 to 646 of the family's 3401-position model. Lineage: Eukaryota; Fungi; Neocallimastigomycota; Neocallimastigomycetes; Neocallimastigales. The record is from RNAcentral.